AACGCAAAUGGCACUCUAUGGUAUUCCGUAGAGUACGUCUGUUUGAGCGUCGCGAACAUCUCCAUAAUUAGUUUUUUUAAAUUAAUUAAGGGUUUUGAGGUUGUCAUUGUAUUAUGACUCCCUUUAAAAUGAUUAGUGAUGACCUUAUGAAUGGGUUAAUACUGUGUGUUAUAAUGGAUUACAUCCAUCACCAGUCAGAGAGUAAUCUCGCCUUAGUAAUUUGUAGUGAUUGCUUCUAAUAGCCUUUAUUGGCAACCUAAUGAUCAAAUCGACCUCAAAUCAGAUGGGAUUACCCGCUGAACUUAA
This 306-nucleotide unclassified non-coding RNA is filed under the name uncultured fungus. RNAcentral's name for it is "partial contains 5.8S ribosomal RNA, internal transcribed spacer 2, and large subunit ribosomal RNA". Lineage: Eukaryota; Fungi. The record is from RNAcentral.